ACAAGACAGAGAAGAAAAAAUGGAAAAAGUUUUCGAUGAUAUUGAGACAAACAUGAAUUUAAUUGGAGCCACUGCAGUUGAAGACAAGCUACAAGAUCAAGCUGCAGAGACCAUUGAAGCUCUGCAUGCAGCAGGCCUGAAAGUCUGGGUGCUCACUGGGGACAAGAUGGAGACAGCUAAAUCCACAUGCUAUGCCUGCCGCCUUUUCCAGACCAACACUGAGCUCUUAGAACUAACCACAAAAACCAUUGAAGAAAGUGAAAGGAAAGAAGAUCGAUUACAUGAAUUAUUGAUAGAAUAUCGUAAGAAAUUGCUGCAUGAGUUUCCUAAAAGUACUAGAAGCUUUAAAAAAGCAUGGACAGAACAUCAGGAAUAUGGAUUAAUCAUAGAUGGCUCCACAUUGUCACUCAUACUAAAUUCUAGUCAAGACUCUAGUUCAAACAAUUACAAAAGCAUUUUCCUACAAAUAUGUAUGAAGUGUACUGCAGUGCUCUGCUGUCGGAUGGCACCAUUACAGAAAGCCCAGAUUGUCAGAAUGGUGAAGAAUUUAAAAGGCAGCCCAAUAACUCUGUCGAUAGGUGAUGGUGCCAAUGAUGUUAGUAUGAUCUUGGAAUCCCAUGUGGGAAUAGGUAUUAAAGGCAAAGAAGGUCGCCAAGCAGCUAGGAAUAGCGAUUAUUCUGUUCCAAAGUUUAAACACUUAAAGAAACUGCUGUUGGCUCAUGGACAUCUAUAUUAUGUGAGAAUAGCACACCUUGUACAGUACUUCUUCUAUAAGAACCUUUGUUUCAUUUUGCCACAGUUUUUGUACCAGUUCUUCUGUGGAUUCUCACAACAGCCAUUGUAUGAUGCUGCUUACCUUACAAUGUACAAUAUCUGCUUCACAUCCUUGCCCAUCCU
RNAcentral lists this small RNA (897 nucleotides) under Pan troglodytes (chimpanzee). Its description in RNAcentral is "processed transcript". Lineage: Eukaryota; Metazoa; Chordata; Mammalia; Primates; Hominidae. The record is from RNAcentral.